AGCAGCCGCGGUAAUUCCAGCUCCAAUAGCGUAUAUUAAAGUUGUUGCAGUUAAAAAGCUCGUAGUUGAAUUUCGGGGUCAGUAGGUUGGUCAUGCCUCCGGUAUGUACUGGUCUCACUGAUUCCUCCUUCCUGAUGAGCCGUAAUGCCAUUAAUUUGGUGUUGCGGGGAAUCUGGACUGUUACUUUGAAAAAAUUAGAGUGUUUAAAGCAAGCUAACGCUUGAAUACAUUAGCAUGGAAUAAUGGAAUAGGACGUUCGAUCCUAUUUUGUUGGUUUCUAGGAUUGACGUAAUGAUUAAUAGGGAUAGUUGGGGGCAUUAGUAUUCAAUUGUCAGAGGUGAAAUUCUUGGAUUUAUUGAAGACUAACUACUGCGAAAGCAUUUGCCAAGGAUGUUUUCAUUAAUCAAGAACGAAAGUUAGGGGAUCGAAGACGAUCAGAUACCGUCGUAGUCUUAACCAUAAACUAUGCCGACUAGGGAUCGGAUGAUGUUAAUUUUUAAUGACUCAUUCGGCGCCUUAA
This 520-nucleotide ribosomal RNA is filed under the name uncultured Glomus. RNAcentral's name for it is "SSU rRNA". It matches the Rfam family "Eukaryotic small subunit ribosomal RNA", at positions 569 to 1091 of the family's 1831-position model. The record is from RNAcentral. Lineage: Eukaryota; Fungi; Glomeromycota; Glomeromycetes; Glomerales; Glomeraceae.